UUAAGCGACUAAGCGUACACGGUGGAUGCCCUGGCAGUCAGAGGCGAUGAAGGACGUGCUAAUCUGCGAUAAGCGCCGGUAAGGUGAUAUGAACCGUUAUAACCGGCGAUUUCCGAAUGGGGAAACCCAGUGUGAUUCGUCACACUAUCAUUAACUGAAUCCAUAGGUUAAUGAGGCGAACCGGGGGAACUGAAACAUCUAAGUACCCCGAGGAAAAGAAAUCAACCGAGAUUCCCCCAGUAGCGGCGAGCGAACGGGGAGGAGCCCAGAGCCUGAAUCAGCAUGUGUGUUAGUGGAAGCGUCUGGAAAGGCGCGCGAUACAGGGUGACAGCCCCGUACACAAAAGCGCAUGUGCUGUGAGCUCGAUGAGUAGGGCGGGACACGUGGUAUCCUGUCUGAAUAUGGGGGGACCAUCCUCCAAGGCUAAAUACUCCUGACUGACCGAUAGUGAACCAGUACCGUGAGGGAAAGGCGAAAAGAACCCCGGCGAGGGGAGUGAAAAAGAACCUGAAACCGUGUACGUACAAGCAGUGGGAGCACAGGUUUACCUGUGUGACUGCGUACCUUUUGUAUAAUGGGUCAGCGACUUAUAUUCUGUAGCAAGGUUAACCGUAUAGGGGAGCCGGAGGGAAACCGAGUCUUAAUUGGGCGUUAAGUUGCAGGGUAUAGACCCGAAACCCGGUGAUCUAGCCAUGGGCAGGUUGAAGGUUGGGUAACACUAACUGGAGGACCGAACCGACUAAUGUUGAAAAAUUAGCGGAUGACCUGUGGCUGGGGGUGAAAGGCCAAUCAAACCGGGAGAUAGCUGGUUCUCCCCGAAAGCUAUUUAGGUAGCGCCUCGUGAAUUCAUCUCCGGGGGUAGAGCACUGUUUCGGCUAGGGGGCCAUCCCGGCUUACCAACCCGAUGCAAACUGCGAAUACCGGAGAAUGUUAUCACGGGAGACACACGGCGGGUGCUAACGUCCGUCGUGAAGAGGGAAACAACCCAGACCGCCAGCUAAGGUCCCAAAGUCAUGGUUAAGUGGGAAACGAUGUGGGAAGGCCCAGACAGCCAGGAUGUUGGCUUAGAAGCAGCCAUCAUUUAAAGAAAGCGUAAUAGCUCACUGGUCGAGUCGGCCUGCGCGGAAGAUGUAACGGGGCUAAACCAUGCACCGAAGCUGCGGCAGCGAACGUAUCACCCAAGACAACUUUACGGAGUUGACGAUUGACGGAGCGAAGCGACGUCAAAGCGUUCAUUAAAGUCGAGUUGGCUUAGGGAUACGUUCGUUGGGUAGGGGAGCGUUCUGUAAGCCUGUGAAGGUGUGUCGUGAGGCAUGCUGGAGGUAUCAGAAGUGCGAAUGCUGACAUAAGUAACGAUAAAGCGGGUGAAAAGCCCGCUCGCCGGAAGACCAAGGGUUCCUGUCCAACGUUAAUCGGGGCAGGGUGAGUCGACCCCUAAGGCGAGGCCGAAAGGCGUAGUCGAUGGGAAACGGGUUAAUAUUCCCGUACUUGGUGUUACUGCGAAGGGGGGACGGAGAAGGCUAUGUUGGCCGGGCGACGGUUGUCCCGGUUUAAGCGUGUAGGUGUGUGUUCCAGGUAAAUCCGGUUCACUUUAACACUGAGGCGUGACGACGAGGCACUACGGUGCUGAAGCAACAAAUGCCCUGCUUCCAGGAAAAGCCUCUAAGCAUCAGGUAACAUCAAAUCGUACCCCAAACCGACACAGGUGGUCAGGUAGAGAAUACCAAGGCGCUUGAGAGAACUCGGGUGAAGGAACUAGGCAAAAUGGUGCCGUAACUUCGGGAGAAGGCACGCUGACACGUAGGUGAAGUGAUUUACUCAUGGAGCUGAAGUCAGUCGAAGAUACCAGCUGGCUGCAACUGUUUAUUAAAAACACAGCACUGUGCAAACACGAAAGUGGACGUAUACGGUGUGACGCCUGCCCGGUGCCGGAAGGUUAAUUGAUGGGGUCAGCGCAAGCGAAGCUCCUGAUCGAAGCCCCGGUAAACGGCGGCCGUAACUAUAACGGUCCUAAGGUAGCGAAAUUCCUUGUCGGGUAAGUUCCGACCUGCACGAAUGGCGUAAUGAUGGCCAGGCUGUCUCCACCCGAGACUCAGUGAAAUUGAACUCGCUGUGAAGAUGCAGUGUACCCGCGGCAAGACGGAAAGACCCCGUGAACCUUUACUAUAGCUUGACACUGAACAUUGAGCCUUGAUGUGUAGGAUAGGUGGGAGGCUUUGAAGUGUGGACGCCAGUCUGCAUGGAGCCGACCUUGAAAUACCACCCUUUAAUGUUUGAUGUUCUAACGUGGACCCGUAAUCCGGGUUGCGGACAGUGUCUGGUGGGUAGUUUGACUGGGGCGGUCUCCUCCUAAAGAGUAACGGAGGAGCACGAAGGUUGGCUAAUCCUGGUCGGACAUCAGGAGGUUAGUGCAAUGGCAUAAGCCAGCUUGACUGCGAGCGUGACGGCGCGAGCAGGUGCGAAAGCAGGUCAUAGUGAUCCGGUGGUUCUGAAUGGAAGGGCCAUCGCUCAACGGAUAAAAGGUACUCCGGGGAUAACAGGCUGAUACCGCCCAAGAGUUCAUAUCGACGGCGGUGUUUGGCACCUCGAUGUCGGCUCAUCACAUCCUGGGGCUGAAGUAGGUCCCAAGGGUAUGGCUGUUCGCCAUUUAAAGUGGUACGCGAGCUGGGUUUAGAACGUCGUGAGACAGUUCGGUCCCUAUCUGCCGUGGGCGCUGGAGAACUGAGGGGGGCUGCUCCUAGUACGAGAGGACCGGAGUGGACGCAUCACUGGUGUUCGGGUUGUCAUGCCAAUGGCACUGCCCGGUAGCUAAAUGCGGAAGAGAUAAGUGCUGAAAGCAUCUAAGCACGAAACUUGCCCCGAGAUGAGUUCUCCCUGAGACUUAGAGUCUCCUGAAGGAACGUUGAAGACGACGACGUUGAUAGGCCGGGUGUGUAAGCGCAGCGAUGCGUUGAGCUAACCGGUACUAAUGAACCGUGAGGCUUAACCUU
Molecule: ribosomal RNA, 2990 nt
Filed under: Salmonella enterica subsp. enterica serovar Typhimurium str. CDC 2011K-0870
Lineage: Bacteria; Pseudomonadati; Pseudomonadota; Gammaproteobacteria; Enterobacterales; Enterobacteriaceae
Description: bacterial LSU rRNA
Rfam family: Bacterial large subunit ribosomal RNA
Source: RNAcentral